This 992-nucleotide ribosomal RNA is filed under the name fungal endophyte. Its description in RNAcentral is "eukaryotic LSU rRNA". The stretch from base 454 to 992 matches the Rfam family "Eukaryotic large subunit ribosomal RNA", at positions 1 to 551 of the family's 3401-position model. Lineage: Eukaryota; Fungi. The record is from RNAcentral.
GACUCGCUCCCGUACAACCCACGCGAACCUACCUACACUCGUUGCCUCGGCGGGUGUCCCGGCGCACGCCGGGGCGCCGCGCCCGCCGACGGCCCCCCACACCCUGCCUGCGUACUGCAUCUCCGAGUCGUGGCAAACGAAUCAAAACUUUCAACAACGGAUCUCUUGGUUCUGGCAUCGAUGAAGAACGCAGCGAAAUGCGAUAAGUAAUGCGAAUUGCAGAAUUCAGUGAAUCAUCGAAUCUUUGAACGCACAUUGCGCCCGCCGGCAUCCCGGCGGGCAUGCCCGUUCGAGCGUCAUUUCAACCCUCAGGCUCCGCCUGGCGUUGGGGUCCUGCGCUGCAGCCCCCGAAAGACAGCGGCGGCUGCGCGCCUCGGCGUACCCGGUGUAGUACCACUCUCCCCGGGCCCGGGCGCGCGUGCCGGCCGUCAAAACCCCCCCCAUCUCCAUGGUUGACCUCGGAUCGGGUAGGAAUACCCGCUGAACUUAAGCAUAUCAAUAAGCGGAGGAAAAGAAACCAACAGGGAUUGCCCCAGUAACGGCGAGUGAAGCGGCAACAGCUCAAAUUUGAAAUCUGGCCCCCCGGGUCCGAGUUGUAAUUUGCAGAGGAUGCUUCGGGCGCGGCGCCUUCCAAGUCCCCUGGAACGGGGCGCCAGAGAGGGUGAGAGCCCCGUCCGGUCGGCCGCCAAGCCCGUGUGAAGCUCCUUCGACGAGUCGAGUAGUUUGGGAAUGCUGCUCUAAACGGGAGGUAGACCCCUUCUAAAGCUAAAUACCGGCCAGAGACCGAUAGCGCACAAGUAGAGUGAUCGAAAGAUGAAAAGCACUUUGAAAAGAGGGUUAAACAGUACGUGAAAUUGUUGAAAGGGAAGCGCUUGCGACCAGACGUGCGGCGGGUGCUCAGCGGGCGUUCUCGCCCGUGCACUCGCCCGCCGCAGGCCAGCGUCGGUUCGGGCGGGGGGAGAAAGGCGCCGGGAACGUACCUCCUCCGGGAG